Long non-coding RNA from Cygnus olor (mute swan), 3853 nucleotides. RefSeq lists it as uncharacterized. The transcript is spliced from 2 exons. NCBI's taxonomy places the organism in Eukaryota, Metazoa, Chordata, Aves, Anseriformes, Anatidae. The record is from RefSeq and is a predicted model, not a curated record.
CUCCCCGCGGGGAAGGUGGCGGUGGUCGUGCGGGGCAGCGCCGGGACGGGGACCCCCGCCCCACGGGAGCCGGAGCUCCGCACCUGCGGCCGCCGGGAUGCUCCCGGUGCCGGGCAGCGCGGCUCCCCCGGGGCUGAAGGUAGCUCUCGCGGCCCCCUGCCCGCUGCGGAGGACUCGGGCAGGAGCUGGAGCACAGCUGUGCGAGCCGGGGGCCGCGGGAGGCUGGUUUUACAGCCCCCCGGGGGGAGGAUGGGAUGGAUCGUCGUUGGAAAAGUGAGCGGUGCUGCUAAGUCUCGCCGGGCGCCGGGAAAUGAGGUUCUCAGCCUCCCUCGGGCUGUGUCGGGGGGAUACUCCUCAAGAUGCAGAACAGCUCUGGGAGUCCGUCCCACCAGACCCGCCUGCCUUUCUCCAGCGGGUGUUUCAUUCAGAGCAGAUCGCAGAGCUGUGCCGUGUCGCUGCAUUUCCCUCGUGUGUAAUUUAGAUCCUCUAACAUGCUCUACAGGUAGUUUGCUUUACUUAGUCAUCUAUGUGCUAUUGCCCAGCUUUUAUUUCAACGACUGUAGCCAAAGAAAAAAAAAAUAGCCUCUCUGAUGGUGCCCCGUCCAGCCCUCUGGAGACAAUAAAUGAACUCACUUUCAGCUUUGUAUGUGCCCUAAAGAAAAGCAAGUGUGAACACAGCUCUCCUAAAUCGUUCCCAUUUGUUUUUGUUCUUAAAGUUUUAAGAUGAGUUUUAAAUAAGUAAUGGCAUAUUUGCAGUAAAGAUGAUGAUCUGUUUGUAUUUAGGGCAUUAGCUUAAUUUAACCCUCUCAAGGAAACAAAACUCUGUGUAACUUCAGGCUGCUUCUGAACAGGACAUUUCUGAUCUUCCCCUGUGCUCCUGACCAUGCAUUUUCUCCUCCCUUGAACCUCUGUGGCAACUGCAUGACUGUGAGCUGGUUAGCCUAGUGGUCCUGAAUAACCUUGAUUUCUUUUGAUAGAAAAACUUUUAUGCCAGAUCACAUUGCCUUCUGUAGCUGCACCAAUCCUGUGCAAAGGAGAUGAUUCAUCAGCCCGCAGCAGGGGUGGUGGGUGGCGAGGAGUGAUGUCAGUUUGCACCUGCAGGCAUGCAGUCAAAAUGGGAUUGUGACUCUCUCAAUGGACAAGACUUGCGCAAAAAGCUAAAGGGUGUGCUGGUAGCACUGUGUGCCUCAGAAAUGCACAGGCUGGCACACAGAAGCCAGUUUCUAAUGUGAUCUGCUAUAUGUGUUUCUGACAGAGGCCACUAGUGCCAUAAUGGCCAUGGUCCUCCAAAGGAAACCUCAUCUGCCACAUCUUUUAUCCCAGUCACCAGCUUUGUACCCAGGACUGAAGUUGAGCUAAUCUCCCCUGGCACUCAGCUCUGUCCCUGCUUACCCUGGCCCUGUGCACCUGCUUGUCCUCUUUCUUGCAAGCAGCUCCUCUUCGUGGAGAACUAAAAUAUCUCCUGACUUCUUCUUUUUUUUUUUUUUUUUUUUUUUUUUUUUUUUUUUUUACAUGCAAAUACAAAAUAUUCAGGCUUACUUUUGAAAAAGUGUGGAGCCAGUGAGAUGCAGUGUAGAGGUCUGAGAGCUGGAACAGAAAGGCAGUUAAGUUUCCUUUGGCUUUUAUGUUGGAUACUGAGUUGCAUGAAUUUUAUUUUACAGUUAUUGAGAUAGUGUUACUCUUGAAAUAGCAGCUUGGCACUGCCUCCUGCCUCUCGUCUCAAAUUUACACAGUGAUAGCAUGAAUAAAAUCAGUUGUCCUCAUGGGCAGCAUUUCCUAUGGCCAAAACCAUAAUCAGCCCAGCAAGCCUCCUGUUGUUUUUUCUAGCAUUUGUAAUGCGAGAUAGUCGACUACGUGGGGAUUAAAGUUAUGCUUUGCUAAGCACACGUAGGUAUGUGGAUGUAUUGCAGAGAAAGAUACUCAGAAUAGUUGUAAUUCUGUAGCACUGCAUAGUACUAAUAUAAAUUUUAGGUUAAAUUAGGAUGAAAAAUGAAUAUUCUUAGUAUGACCAUGAAUUUGGGUUCUGGAUGAUAUUGAUAUACCCUACUAUGAUAAAGAGGAACAUAGAUAAUAAUACAUUGAGUUUCUUUUUGAGGGAGAGGUAAACUGGGUCUUUUAAUUGUGUGGUGUUUUUAUUACUAUUUUAUAAAUCCUUCAUGAUCUAGACCAAACUGGGUUCUUUUAAUUCUUCUUUUAAUUAAAAAGAUAGAUUAAUAAUUACAGGUUCAAACUUCAUUUUCAUGUUGUAUUUUGGAAUUAAGUGCUAGAUCGCUGGAGAUGACCUGUGUUCAUGCUGUAUCCUCAGUUCAACAUUUCCUAUGGAAUUUCAAUUUCCUCAUCUCUUCCCAUGGCUUUGACUAGGAAUGGCUACCACCAACUCUCAGAUUCUUAGAGUGAUUCUUCUCAUGAAUCACAGAUUGAUUGAGGUUGGAACAGACCUCUACAGGUCAUCUGGUCCAACACCCUUGCUCAAGUAGGGCCACCUGGAGCAUAUUACGCAGACAACCAUGUCCAGACGACUUCUGAAGAUCUCCAAGGAGGGAGUCUGCACAACUUUUCAAGGCAACCUCUUUCAGUGCUCAGUCACCUGUGGAGUAACGAGUUGCUUCCUGAUGCUCAUGAGGAACCUCCUGUGUUUCAUAUUGUGCCUGUUGCCUCUUGUCCUGUCACUGGGCACCACUGAAAGGAGCCUAUCUUCACCGUCUUUACACCUUCCCUUCAGGUGUUUGUGCACAUUGAUGUGUACAACCCACCUGAGCCUUUUCCUCAGGCUGAACAGCCCCAGCUCUCUUGGUCUUUCAUCAUAGGAGAGAUGCUCCAGACACUUCAUCAUGUUUGUGGCCCUCUGCUGGACUCUCCCCACUAUGUCCAUCUAUCUCCUGGGGAACCUAGCACUGGACACAGUACUCCAGGUGUGGCCACACCAGCACUGAGAAGAGGCAAAGGAUCACCUCCCUUGACUUGCUGACAGUACUUUACCUGAUGCUGCUCAGGAUACUAUUCACCUUCUUUGCCAAAAGGGUGCUUUGCUUGGUUACAGCCGACUUGUUUUCUCACAGGACUCCCAGGUCCUUUUCUGCCAAAUUGCCUUUUCUGCAAAGCUUACUUAAAUAUUUGGUGAGGAGAAGGCUUUUGGCUAACUUUUUACCACGCAGGGCAUCUGAUUAAAAUCAAAUAUUAGGAAAAUUUCAUUCAAAAUUGUAGAGCUGUUUCUGAAAAUGCAGAGUAUGGGGAAAAUAUUUGCUAUUUAAAACAGUUCUAAUGGCCUUUCUUUCACAAAGGCCAUAAAACCCCUUGGCUUCUUUGUGGAGAAUAGUUUAAAAUUUAGCAGGAGGAAGGCCUUGCAUUGAAGACAUCUAUUGCUCAUACUGUGAAAAUGAGACUAAAUAUGUUUAUGUUACAGGUCUCUGAGCCUGCAGCUCAACUGAGAUCUAAGGUACAAGCAUUUUCGCACAUUUUCACAGGCUGUAUGUGAAUAUGUACAUAUGUCAAAGAAGAAGAUACUUCCUCUUCUGGUUGCACGAGCCAAAGUGAAAUUAUUCACAAACUGAUACUACGUCUGAAUCCUACCGUCAUGUUUUCGACUGUACAUGUGCAAAGGUGGGGUGAAUGAGGGAGCUGUGCAAUUCAAAUGGAGGUCAAGCACCAGCUACAACAGAUCAAGAGGUAAACAUGGGUAAUGGGAAUGUUAGCAUAUGUCUGAUUGUACAGAUUCAGACAUAUCAAGUCUUAUGAUCGCUGAAGAUAUUCUUCAUUGCUCUCUUAUGUGACCCCAAUAACCAACUCUUCUGUAUUAGCUUUUGCCCCCUCAGUGUGAACAGAAAAAAAAAAGAAUAAAACUCUACUAUUAUGA